UAAGGAAUAUUGGACAAUGGAGGCAACUCUGAUCCAGCCAUGCCGUGUGAAGGAAUAAGGCCCUAUGGGUUGUAAACUUCUUUUAGACGGGACAAAACCCCUUUACGUGUAAAGGGUUGAUGGUACUGUCAGAAUAAGCAUCGGCUAACUUCGUGCCAGCAGCCGCGGUAAUACGAAGGAUGCAAGCGUUAUCCGGAAUUAUUGGGUUUAAAGGGUGCGUAGGCGGACUAAUAAGUCAGUGGUGAAAGCCUGCAGCUUAACUGCAGAAUUGCCAUUGAUACUGUUAGUCUUGAGUACAGUUGAGGUGGGCGGAAUGUGUCAUGUAGCGGUGAAAUGCUUAGAUAUGACACAGAACACCGAUUGCGAAGGCAGCUUGCUAAGCUGUAACUGACGCUGAGGCACGAAAGCGUGGGGAGCAAACA
Molecule: ribosomal RNA, 422 nt
Filed under: uncultured bacterium
Lineage: Bacteria
Description: bacterial SSU rRNA
Rfam family: Bacterial small subunit ribosomal RNA
Source: RNAcentral